AGUUUUACUUGAUCAGUCAGUUGAUGCAGUUGUCUAUAUAGUCCAGUAAAAAAGAGGCAAACUUACAUUUCUUCUGAUAUAAAGUUAUACAGGGUCCAAGCGCCACACUUAUCCUGGACGACUGUACAAUUACACUCGGUUUGCAAAAGUCUAGUGCUGUGUAUGUUUUGAAUGCUACUUCUACGAACUUCGAACGUGCUUUUCUGAAAAAGAUAUAUUUAGUGAACUAUUUAUGGACAAGAUCGAGAUAUGCAACAUAUGCGAUAAAGCACUGGAGUGUGCUACGUUAAAAGUCGUCGCCGUUAAAAAAAGGGGUCUGAGGUCAUUUGUUGCGAAAAGCAAAGAAAUUGGCGAUAGAAAAUGGAAGAUUUGGAGCAGACAUACCUCGGUUCUCGUGCAUACCGCGUGCCGCAAUAUAUACUCAAAGGCAACAAUCAAAAAUGUGGCCGCAAAAGCAGCAAAACUGAAAGCUUUAUCGACAUCUUCUGCUGAAACACCUAGUACGUCAGCGAGGAUUUCUGAAUCGCCGCUCACGAAAAAUAAAUUCAAUUUCCGUGACUUGUGCUUAAUAUGCGCAAAGCCAUGGAAGGAAAAGAACAAGCAAGGCUCCGUGAUACAUAACGACUAUAUGAAGUUGCUGUGGGCGCACGAUAUCACAACAAAUGUUACGUGCUGUUUUUGCUAAUCCCAACCGACACGUCGAAUCGUACUUCAGAAACAAAAAAUAUGGACUCGGAUUUUCAAUUCAUUGCGGAGCAUAUAAAAAAUUCGCAAAAAGGAACAUUCACAGCAAAUGAAUUACUGUAUCUUAAAGGUAGCAGAUGUUUUUCACAAGAAUUUUUGUAUCGAAAACUGAAAGAAUAUUUUCGAGAAGAUAUCUACAUUUUGCGGCGACAAGGCCAUGUAACAUUGAUCUUAUAUAAAUGCUUCAGUGUGUCCGAUGUAUGUGGAAUAUGGUAUCGUAAUCCGAAUUCCCUCAAUAUCAAGCAGCAAGAAGCAUUAGUAAACGCAGUAACAGAGAUCGUCCGAAAAACUAUCAAGAAUGAAUGAGCAGGAAGACGAUUCCUACAUGGAGUACCAUUUAUAGGUAUGUCCCACCACGGGCACUGGUGUAACCUUGAAGUGGGAGUUGCUGUUACAAUAGGCAGGUAGCUGUCAACAAUCUUCGGAUACUUGUCAACGGAGUGAAACUCCGUGAUCGCAAACAAAUAUCUCUCUCUUUUAGGACAAUGAUUAAAAUAUAUGUCUUAGUUGUUUGUUGCUAUAUUAAAGAAUAAAAUAUUAACUCCAAUUCAAGUAAUAAAUCUUCUUUUAUCUUCGUAAGAUGGUAAAAAUGUAUAGCUUCAAAUAUUUUGUAAUAUUUUAAUUUUCUGUAUAUAAAUAGAAAUUUAGAAAU
This 1396-nucleotide unclassified non-coding RNA is filed under the name Polistes canadensis. RNAcentral's name for it is "uncharacterized LOC106792478, transcript variant X1". Lineage: Eukaryota; Metazoa; Arthropoda; Insecta; Hymenoptera; Vespidae. The record is from RNAcentral.